CCUACGGGUGGCAGCAGUGAGGAAUAUUGGUCAAUGGACGAGAGUCUGAACCAGCCAAGUAGCGUGAAGGAUGACUGCCCUAUGGGUUGUAAACUUCUUUUAUAUGGGAAUAAAAUGUUCCACGUGUGGGAUUUUGUAUGUACCAUAUGAAUAAGGAUCGGCUAACUCCGUGCCAGCAGCCGCGGUAAUACGGAGGAUCCGAGCGUUAUCCGGAUUUAUUGGGUUUAAAGGGAGCGUAGGUGGAUUGUUAAGUCAGUUGUGAAAGUUUGCGGCUCAACCGUAAAAUUGCAGUUGAAACUGGCAGUCUUGAGUACAGUAGAGGUGGGCGGAAUUCGUGGUGUAGCGGUGAAAUGCUUAGAUAGCACGAAGAACUCCGAUUGCGAAGGCAGUUCACUGGACUGCAACUGACACUGAGGCUCGAAAGUGUGGGUAUCAAACAGGACUAGAUACCCUAGUAGUC
This 460-nucleotide ribosomal RNA is filed under the name uncultured bacterium. RNAcentral describes it as "partial 16S ribosomal RNA". It matches the Rfam family "Bacterial small subunit ribosomal RNA", at positions 338 to 795 of the family's 1533-position model. The record is from RNAcentral.